This 499-nucleotide ribosomal RNA is filed under the name uncultured Glomeromycotina. Its description in RNAcentral is "partial small subunit ribosomal RNA". It matches the Rfam family "Eukaryotic small subunit ribosomal RNA", at positions 591 to 1092 of the family's 1831-position model. The record is from RNAcentral. Lineage: Eukaryota; Fungi; Glomeromycota.
CCAAUAGCGUAUAUUAAAGUUGUUGCAGUUAAAAAGCUCGUAGUUGAAUUUCGGGAUCAAAUUGUCGGUCGUGCCUCGGUACGUACUGGCAUUAUUGGUUCCUCCCUUCUGAAGAACCGCGACGUCAUUAAUUUGGUGUCGCGGGGAGUCAGGACUGUUACUUUGAAAAAAUUAGAGUGUUUAAAGCAGGCUCGCGCUUGAAUACAUUAGCAUGGAAUAAUGAAAUAGGACGUUUGAUUCUAUUUUGUUGGUUUCUAGGAUCGACGUAAUGAUUAAUAGGGAUAGUUGGGGACAUUAGUAUUCAAUUGUCAGAGGUGAAAUUCUUGGAUUUAUUGAAGACUAACUACUGCGAAAGCAUUUGCCAAGGAUGUUUUCAUUAAUCAAGAACGAAAGUUAGGGGAUCGAAGACGAUCAGAUACCGUCGUAGUCUUAACCAUAAACUAUGCCGACUAGGGAUCGGAUGAUGUUAAUUUUUUAAUGACUCAUUCGGCGCCUUACG